UUGAAUUGAAGAGUUUGAUCAUGGCUCAGAUUGAACGCUGGCGGCAGGCCUAACACAUGCAAGUCGGGCGGUAACAGGAAAGCGCUUGCGCUUUUGCUGACGAGCGGCGG
RNAcentral lists this ribosomal RNA (110 nucleotides) under Photorhabdus luminescens. RNAcentral's name for it is "partial 16S ribosomal RNA". It matches the Rfam family "Bacterial small subunit ribosomal RNA", at positions 1 to 101 of the family's 1533-position model. Lineage: Bacteria; Pseudomonadati; Pseudomonadota; Gammaproteobacteria; Enterobacterales; Morganellaceae. The record is from RNAcentral.